RNAcentral lists this ribosomal RNA (253 nucleotides) under uncultured bacterium. Its description in RNAcentral is "partial 16S ribosomal RNA". It matches the Rfam family "Bacterial small subunit ribosomal RNA", at positions 524 to 776 of the family's 1533-position model. The record is from RNAcentral.
GACGAACCGUGCGAACGUUGUUCGGAAUCACUGGGCUUAAAGGGUGCGUAGGCGGUUCUUUAAGUCAGGGGUGAAAUCCCGGAGCUCAACUCCAGAACUGCCUUUGAUACUGAGGAUCUUGAGUUCGGGAGAGGUGAGUGGAACUGCGAGUGUAGAGGUGAAAUUCGUAGAUAUUCGCAAGAACACCAGUGGCGAAGGCGGCUCACUGGCCCGAUACUGACGCUGAGGCACGAAAGCGUGGGGAGCAAACAGG